Molecule: ribosomal RNA, 1965 nt
Filed under: Staphylococcus aureus
Lineage: Bacteria; Bacillati; Bacillota; Bacilli; Caryophanales; Staphylococcaceae
Description: partial 23S ribosomal RNA
Rfam family: Bacterial large subunit ribosomal RNA
Source: RNAcentral
UUACCGAAUUCAGACAAACUCCGAAUGCCAAUUAAUUUAACUUGGGAGUCAGAACAUGGGUGAUAAGGUCCGUGUUCGAAAGGGAAACAGCCCAGACCACCAGCUAAGGUCCCAAAAUAUAUGUUAAGUGGAAAAGGAUGUGGCGUUGCCCAGACAACUAGGAUGUUGGCUUAGAAGCAGCCAUCAUUUAAAGAGUGCGUAAUAGCUCACUAGUCGAGUGACACUGCGCCGAAAAUGUACCGGGGCUAAACAUAUUACCGAAGCUGUGGAUUGUCCUUUGGACAAUGGUAGGAGAGCGUUCUAAGGGCGUUGAAGCAUGAUCGUAAGGACAUGUGGAGCGCUUAGAAGUGAGAAUGCCGGUGUGAGUAGCGAAAGACGGGUGAGAAUCCCGUCCACCGAUUGACUAAGGUUUCCAGAGGAAGGCUCGUCCGCUCUGGGUUAGUCGGGUCCUAAGCUGAGGCCGACAGGCGUAGGCGAUGGAUAACAGGUUGAUAUUCCUGUACCACCUAUAAUCGUUUUAAUCGAUGGGGGGACGCAGUAGGAUAGGCGAAGCGUGCGAUUGGAUUGCACGUCUAAGCAGUAAGGCUGAGUAUUAGGCAAAUCCGGUACUCAUUAAGGCUGAGCUGUGAUGGGGAGAAGACAUUGUGUCUUCGAGUCGUUGAUUUCACACUGCCGAGAAAAGCCUCUAGAUAGAAAAUAGGUGCCCGUACCGCAAACCGACACAGGUAGUCAAGAUGAGAAUUCUAAGGUGAGCGAGCGAACUCUCGUUAAGGAACUCGGCAAAAUGACCCCGUAACUUCGGGAGAAGGGGUGCUCUUUAGGGUUAACGCCCAGAAGAGCCGCAGUGAAUAGGCCCAAGCGACUGUUUAUCAAAAACACAGGUCUCUGCUAAACCGUAAGGUGAUGUAUAGGGGCUGACGCCUGCCCGGUGCUGGAAGGUUAAGAGGAGUGGUUAGCUUCUGCGAAGCUACGAAUCGAAGCCCCAGUAAACGGCGGCCGUAACUAUAACGGUCCUAAGGUAGCGAAAUUCCUUGUCGGGUAAGUUCCGACCCGCACGAAAGGCGUAACGAUUUGGGCACUGUCUCAACGAGAGACUCGGUGAAAUCAUAGUACCUGUGAAGAUGCAGGUUACCCGCGACAGGACGGAAAGACCCCGUGGAGCUUUACUGUAGCCUGAUAUUGAAAUUCGGCACAGCUUGUACAGGAUAGGUAGGAGCCUUUGAAACGUGAGCGCUAGCUUACGUGGAGGCGCUGGUGGGAUACUACCCUAGCUGUGUUGGCUUUCUAACCCGCACCACUUAUCGUGGUGGGAGACAGUGUCAGGCGGGCAGUUUGACUGGGGCGGUCGCCUCCUAAAAGGUAACGGAGGCGCUCAAAGGUUCCCUCAGAAUGGUUGGAAAUCAUUCAUAGAGUGUAAAGGCAUAAGGGAGCUUGACUGCGAGACCUACAAGUCGAGCAGGGUCGAAAGACGGACUUAGUGAUCCGGUGGUUCCGCAUGGAAGGGCCAUCGCUCAACGGAUAAAAGCUACCCCGGGGAUAACAGGCUUAUCUCCCCCAAGAGUUCACAUCGACGGGGAGGUUUGGCACCUCGAUGUCGGCUCAUCGCAUCCUGGGGCUGUAGUCGGUCCCAAGGGUUGGGCUGUUCGCCCAUUAAAGCGGUACGCGAGCUGGGUUCAGAACGUCGUGAGACAGUUCGGUCCCUAUCCGUCGUGGGCGUAGGAAAUUUGAGAGGAGCUGUCCUUAGUACGAGAGGACCGGGAUGGACAUACCUCUGGUGUACCAGUUGUCGUGCCAACGGCAUAGCUGGGUAGCUAUGUGUGGACGGGAUAAGUGCUGAAAGCAUCUAAGCAUGAAGCCCCCCUCAAGAUGAGAUUUCCCAACUUCGGUUAUAAGAUCCCUCAAAGAUGAUGAGGUUAAUAGGUUCGAGGUGGAAGCAUGGUGACAUGUGGAGCUGACGAAUACUAA